AGCUUUGCACUGUGGCAGUAUUAUAGCCAACCAGGUUUAACCAAGGUGCUAUUAUUACUAAUUGAAAAUCUAAGCAGAGGUUAUUGCCACAGAAGUGGGAAUAGAUUUAUAAUAUAUAUACAUAUAU
Molecule: small nuclear RNA, 127 nt
Filed under: Monodelphis domestica (gray short-tailed opossum)
Lineage: Eukaryota; Metazoa; Chordata; Mammalia; Didelphimorphia; Didelphidae
Description: U4 spliceosomal RNA
Rfam family: U4 spliceosomal RNA
About the family: U4 small nuclear RNA (U4 snRNA) is a component of the major U2-dependent spliceosome. The structure of U4 snRNA from yeast and human has been reported.
Source: Rfam by way of RNAcentral